This is a long non-coding RNA of Homo sapiens (human), 1644 nucleotides long. Ensembl annotates it as PNISR antisense RNA 1. Its record names the gene PNISR-AS1. The record is from Ensembl. NCBI's taxonomy places the organism in Eukaryota, Metazoa, Chordata, Mammalia, Primates, Hominidae.
GCACGCGCAGUGUUUAACGGCCGGUCAGGAACCCAACAAUUAGUCCCUUCUCGUCCGAGAGGAAACUCUGUGAGAAGAUGGGACCGUGAGCACUCUCUUUAACAAGGACAUUUCCUUUUCAGCGAAAGCAGCGCUCUGAUUUACCAAGUCUGGCGGACCGCAGCGCUUUAAAGGAAUGAGGUUCCAGCGGUCGCGCCAAGCAGCGUACGCAGCCUAUUUUAAGUUAUGCUACCUUCGCCACAGAAACCAAGAACGUUGUAAUGGUCCGGCAAGUGCCCACGUAUAAUUGUUCUCCAUCACUUACCCACUCUAGUUCGGGAACACCCUUGUCGCCGCCGUUCCGGUAACACCUCUCCAACGCUUUCGAUGCUUCUACUUCUUCGGGAACAAGACAAGAUGGCGCCCGAUUUGUCUCACCCGGAAGUAAAGAAUAAUAACAUCCGUUUGUCAUCUGAAGCCAUACCAUCUCUCAUCCAGGUUUGUGAACACGUGAUUGUGCGGAUUGACAUGUUUCGGCGCCAUUUUUUUUGUGGGCAAAACCAUCUCUACUCUGGUCAACACCGGGCAACUGAACCAUUCCUGCACGUUACUUUUUAACGUAGCUGGCGCCAUUCCCGACCCAUCUUUAUAGUGGCCAGAAAGCCAAGAACGUAAGUGUUCUACACAUAGGGCGCCUUCAAAUUUUUUACUUUAGCAACGUGAUCUUCCUUUAAGGGGAAGUAUGUUCCCUCCUAGAAACACUCCCGCCUUGGAGAAGGGGUUGAGUUCGCAACUCCACUUACAGACUACGGAGGAACCCCAGGGUCAAACCAAACCAAACCAAUUCUGGCCAGUUGCUUAGCGCAGUUCAAGUUACUUAGUGCGCUGGAAGCGGCAUUUCAGGCAAUCCAACUUCUGGCUCGAACCUUCUCGGAGUAUUCCAAGGAUGGAAUACUCUCACUUGAGCGCUGCCGAGGGUGCCGCUUGAGGAAAACGUGAGUUUGUGAAGGUGAGCAGUCUGGGUCGGUAGCGAAAGCGGAGACCUUAGCUGACCCCGCAGCUGUCUUUCUCUUUGUUAACCUCAACACAUCGCGCCCCCUUCCGGGAACACUUGCUCUUCUCUCCUUGGCUUAACUAGUCCCGGUUUUUCAUUCUUUAUCCGUGACUUUUAGGGAACCGUGGGGGGGAAGUCUGGUUUCCGUCCUGCUGCUUUCCUUCAACUACAAGAUGGCUUCUCAAAAGGACGCAUGCAAUGCCAUUCCUCAAAGACAGUAUGUUGAUUUCACAGUGUUUUUAUAUGAACAACGUUCAAGUGUCAAAAGUAUCAAUUUCCAGGCUAGGAGCUACAAGUUAAAAGGAAAACAAAAAUGUUCCAAAGAUACAGUGUUUAUUAGCUACAUCUUGGGAAGUGCCUUUCCAGAGAGUAACAUGAAAACUUCUGCGUGACAAAGUGCACGAAGUAUCUGAAUUAUUUCAUUGGGCAAUUGUCGUGCAAAAGAAAUAGCAAAUUACCGUAGAAACAAAAUAGUAAGAGCACAGCUAGAUGGAUAAAGAUACAGAUGUGAAAAUAUAGAUGCCCUUUGCAUGAAAAUUCAGUUUUCCUCAGCACUAGAGACCCAGAUACUCCUGAAUUAGCAUUAUAAUAAAGUCGUCACUAGCUAACCA